GUCAGUCUGCAACUCGACUGCAUGAAGCUGGAAUCGCUAGUAAUCGCGAAUCAGCAUGUCGCGGUGAAUACGUUCCCGGGUCUUGUACACACCGCCCGUCGCACCAUGGGAGUCGGAAAUGCCCGAAGCCAGUGACCCAACCUUUAAGGAGGGAGCUGUCGAAGGCAGGUCUGGUAACUGGGGUGAAGUCGUAACAAGGUACC
RNAcentral lists this ribosomal RNA (203 nucleotides) under uncultured bacterium. RNAcentral's name for it is "partial 16S ribosomal RNA". It matches the Rfam family "Bacterial small subunit ribosomal RNA", at positions 1300 to 1500 of the family's 1533-position model. The record is from RNAcentral.